AUUGUAUAGGCACACAAACACAACCGUCUGUAGCUGACGGUACCUCUUCAGUGCCUCCAUAUAGUGCACAAGAUCAUACAUCAGACUCUAUGGUCGAGGAUGACUAUGACGAAGAUGUCAUAUUUGAGGAGGACGAGGAAGAGGAUGAGGCAUACUUUUUCGCCGGUCAAGACGAGGAUGAGGGAAC
Molecule: long non-coding RNA, 187 nt
Organism: Sorghum bicolor (sorghum)
Lineage: Eukaryota; Viridiplantae; Streptophyta; Magnoliopsida; Poales; Poaceae
Exons: 3
Source: RefSeq, a predicted model, not a curated record